UACAGAGGUGACUAACGUUGUCCGGAAUUAUUGGGCGUAAAGGGCGCGUAGGCGGUUCGGUAAGUCAGAUGUGAAAUGUCCGGGCUCAACCCGGAAGUUGCAUCUGAUACUGCUGGACUUGAGUACGGUAGAGGAAGGUGGAAUUCCCAGUGUAGCGGUGAAAUGCGUAGAUAUUGGGAGGAACACCGGUGGCGAAGGCGGCCUUCUGGACCGAGACUGACGCUGAAGCGCGAAAGCUAGGGGAG
RNAcentral lists this ribosomal RNA (245 nucleotides) under uncultured bacterium. Its description in RNAcentral is "partial 16S ribosomal RNA". It matches the Rfam family "Bacterial small subunit ribosomal RNA", at positions 524 to 768 of the family's 1533-position model. The record is from RNAcentral.